CCCUUAGAUGUCCUGGGCUGCACGCGCGCUACACUGACACGUUCAACGAGUUUUGCCUGCUCCGAUGGGACUGGGUAAUCUUAUGAAAGCGUGUCGUGAUGGGGAUAGAUUAUUGCAAUUAUUAAUCUUCAACGAGGAAUUCCUAGUAAGUACAAGUCAUCAGCUUGUGCUGAUUACGUCCCUGCCCUUUGUACACACCGCCCGUCGCUACUACCGAUUGAACGGUUUAGUGAGGGCCUCGGAUUGGUCUCGGCCCGCUCUUUACCGGGCGGCGCCGUUGGUCGAGAAGACGCUCGAACUUGAUCGUUUAGAGGAAGUAAAAGUCGUAACA
Molecule: ribosomal RNA, 331 nt
Filed under: uncultured eukaryote
Lineage: Eukaryota
Description: partial 18S ribosomal RNA
Rfam family: Eukaryotic small subunit ribosomal RNA
Source: RNAcentral